UACGUAGGGGGCAAGCGUUAUCCGGAUUUACUGGGUGUAAAGGGAGCGUAGACGGCGAUGCAAGUCUGAAGUGAAAGGCGGGGGCCCAACCCCUGGACUGCUUUGGGAACUGUGCAGCUGGAGUGCAGGAGAGGUAAGCGGAAUUCCUAGUGUAGCGGUGAAAUGCGUAGAUAUUAGGAGGAACAUCGGUGGCGAAGGCGGCUUACUGGGCUUUUACUGACGCUGAGGCUCGAAAGCGUGGGGAGCAAACAGG
RNAcentral lists this ribosomal RNA (253 nucleotides) under uncultured Eubacteriales bacterium. Its description in RNAcentral is "uncultured Clostridiales bacterium partial 16S ribosomal RNA". It matches the Rfam family "Bacterial small subunit ribosomal RNA", at positions 524 to 776 of the family's 1533-position model. The record is from RNAcentral. Lineage: Bacteria; Bacillati; Bacillota; Clostridia; Eubacteriales.